GUUUCCCUCCACUCAAAUGUCUGCAACUCUCUAGCAUCUAUUGCUUUUUAUGGUUGAGGGUAUUGGACAAAGGAUUCAAGUGAUGAUUGGAGAAGGAGAGGAUUUCUAUGAUGUCCAACUUGGUGCCAUCCAUCUCAUUACUUGGUCAUCCCAUAUAUGAAGACCAAAGAGCAACCACUGAAGAAAAACUUUACUGAUGGAUUUCAUCCAAUAGGCCCUGGUGGUGAAGUAAUGCUAAAUGGCAGUAGAGGCUUGUGAGCAACUAGCCUAAUUGGGAAAUUGGUGUAGUCCUCCACCUUGCACUGCUUCAUGCCCAUUACUGUUUUAUUAAGUAGAAUGAGUGCACUAGUAGAUGAAACCCGACUUUCUGUGAUAUGAACACAACGUUAACAUUCUUCUCUUUUAAUUUUUUCUUAA
This is a long non-coding RNA of Vitis riparia (riverbank grape), 417 nucleotides long. RefSeq lists it as uncharacterized. The record is from RefSeq and is a predicted model, not a curated record. NCBI's taxonomy places the organism in Eukaryota, Viridiplantae, Streptophyta, Magnoliopsida, Vitales, Vitaceae. The transcript is spliced from 3 exons.